GUAGCCCAGCAAGAUUAUCUGGGGGAGGGGAGUCAGCUGGAGAAGGAGAAUGAGUGACUGGGAUCAAGAAGGAGAACAGAAGGCCUCAAAGUACCAAGAUUCAAAGAAGAAUAUGAUGUGGCAUGAAAUAGUCUUAUACCUGAACUGAAUUUUGAAGAAAAGAUGCUCCCAGGAGGAAUUGGGUAUAUAGUGUGGUUAUGGAUGAUCGCUUGCCCAAUAUCAUGGAGAUGGGAGAUAAAAUGUCAUAUACAUACACGGAAUAAAGAAAAGUAGGCCAAUAUGGUGAGAAUGUAU
RNAcentral lists this long non-coding RNA (294 nucleotides) under Monodelphis domestica (gray short-tailed opossum). Its description in RNAcentral is "lncRNA (ENSMODG00000042516.1)". Lineage: Eukaryota; Metazoa; Chordata; Mammalia; Didelphimorphia; Didelphidae. The record is from RNAcentral.